Molecule: long non-coding RNA, 697 nt
Organism: Triticum aestivum (bread wheat)
Lineage: Eukaryota; Viridiplantae; Streptophyta; Magnoliopsida; Poales; Poaceae
Exons: 3
Source: RefSeq, a predicted model, not a curated record
UUUGCUAGAAACGUACGAGGUCUUUCGGAGUUUCAGAUGUGUUCGUCGCCUGUGCUCGCAUGACGCCUUUACAAGCCGUAACCGCCGCGCCGCCGCCUGUGGCUCUAGGCUGCACAUACACCUCGCCCCUUUGGCGAUCAGCCUCGAUCUGCACUGCGCACGCCAGCCAGCCGGCCCGCCAUGCGCCAUCCCCAAGGUAGAAGCCGUACUAAUCAAUCAUUCAAUCAAGGAAAGCUAAUGGAGAGGUGUUUAUCUGUCAAUGUUUAUAUGCUCUCUAUAUUCAAACAUAUUUCUUCUUCAUGCGGCUUGAAGGCUAGAAAUGAGGGGCAUACCAACAAAAAGGAAAGACAUAUUCAAGUUAUUGUGCCUCAAGUGGGAACUAGCGGUUGAAGGCAGCGUAGGAGUCGGAACUAGCAGUUGAAGGCAGCGUAAGAGUUGGACCGUGCUGCACCGCGAAGAACAGGGCGUGGGGGAAGCCCAUGCCCACAUCCUCGUGAAGCAACAAACUUGGGCCGCCCGUGCCCUCGCCGGCAUGCCUCCAGAAUCGGACGAGAUGUUUGUUGUCUUUGUUGUAGUAUAUGACGCCGUUGUUGAACUUUUGUUGUCCUAUGUCAUCCGAUGUUUGAACUAUGUCCUAUGUAUGCUACAUAUAUGUUGAUCGAUGUUCCAUAACUUUGUAUGGAUUUGAGGGUUCGUA